This 631-nucleotide long non-coding RNA is filed under the name Brassica napus (rape). Its description in RNAcentral is "long non-coding RNA (BNAP_LNC004668)". The record is from RNAcentral. Lineage: Eukaryota; Viridiplantae; Streptophyta; Magnoliopsida; Brassicales; Brassicaceae.
GAGUGAGAAUUAGACAGAGACUGAUCGAACAAAACAUAUAUGAAAAGAAAAGCAAAGUAUUAUGAAAGAAUAUGUGUAUGCUUCCUUUUUGACAAGAACAUUUUUAACUAAUAACCUUCCUAAAAAAAGUUCUUAUCUUUUCUAGAAUUAAAACAUUCGUAAGGUAUGACCCAAAAUUUUAUCUGGUCGUAAUUUGUGUGCUACAUAAACUAUAAAAUAUGCAACUAAUCAAUUUAUUAAUCGGGUAAUUUACUGAUAAAUGAAUGUAUAUGGUCUAAAAAUGAAUAUGAGAUGGGGUGGGUUUGGGACAAUGUGUUAACUGCUGGUCUGUGAGAGCUUAGACGUGAUAUGGUAGAAACAAAAAUAAGAAAAAUUUAAGGUCCAAUGUCAACCUAGAGUGUAUGUAAAGAUAUUAUUACAUAAGCUUAUACUUAUAAUUUACACAUCUGUAUAUACAUCUUUUCUCAACGUCUCCAUGUAUGAUAUACAUCUCUUGCUGAAAAGCCUGAAAUAGUAUAUUACGAUAGAAAACAGUAGAAUAUUGAUAUUUGGUUUCUGAUGAUAUAUAUUCUACUUGUCUAAUAUAAUUCUAGGUGUCGCGGAAAUGAAAAAAUUAUAAUUAGUUUCAUUU